CAGCAGCCGCGGUAAUACGAAGGGUGCAAGCGUUAAUCGGAAUUACUGGGCGUAAAGCGUGCGUAGGCGGUUUGUUAAGUCUGUUGUGAAAUCCCCGGGCUCAACCUGGGAAUGGCAAUGGAUACUGGCAAGCUAGAGUGUGUCAGAGGAUGGUGGAAUUCCCGGUGUAGCGGUGAAAUGCGUAGAGAUCGGGAGGAACAUCAGUGGCGAAGGCGGCCAUCUGGGACAACACUGACGCUGAGGCACGAAAGCGUGGGGAGCAAACAGGAUUAGAUACCCCGGUAGUCCCUGUCUCUUACAC
This 301-nucleotide ribosomal RNA is filed under the name uncultured bacterium. RNAcentral describes it as "partial 16S ribosomal RNA". It matches the Rfam family "Bacterial small subunit ribosomal RNA", at positions 509 to 809 of the family's 1533-position model. The record is from RNAcentral.